AGGGAAUGGUUUCUCUCUCUUCCGCUGGACUUUAACAAGCAAGCACAUGACGGGCUUCAUCAGUCCUGGACGAGAAAGCUGAGAUGAAAAUAACUUGAGUCUUGGAUGAAAUCAGUGACCCUAUGAUAUCAUCACAUCUAGAGCUGACUCUAACUGGACUUCCAGCUAUUUCCAGGACAUAUUCAAGCAGAGUUUGGAUAACCACCUGCCAAAGAUCUGUAUUGGGUGGGAAGUUGGUUCAUACCUGUCUUAAUUGUCCAAGAUUCUAUUCUUCACCUAGAUUAUCUCUGUAAAUCAUGAAGUGCUUACUAAAAGUAUUAUAUCCAAAUGAAUAUUCAAGUAAAAAUAUAAACAAUAAAAUAAUAGAGAAUGCUAAUAACAGUGCUAAAUACUGUGUAUACAUCAUUUUUAAUUAGUACUGACAAUCUCGUAAGUUAGGUAUUACUUCUAUACCUUUUUUUUUUUUUCAGCUGAGAAAAACAGACCCAAAGAAGCUAUGCCUUGCUUGAGGUCACAUAGCCAGCUAUUGAACCUAAGUCUGUCAUACAUCAAAGCCAUGCUCUUAAUGAAUUAGGAAAGAAUCUUAAGGAAUCAUCUGAUUCAGCUCCUUAUUUUAUAAAGGAGGGACUUUUCCCAUCACACAAUGAUACAUGAACAUUAUACAUCCUCUUAAUUAUGUUCUCAGUAUCUUUUGUUCUUGAGAUUUUAGACUCAAUGUACUUACAAGCAGAAUAUGAUCAUACUUCAUUAGCCCAUCAGCAGCUACGAGGAUGACAAGGUUGCUAUACUAAGGAAAUCACACUCUGUUCAACUCCAGGCAUCACCAUGGCAUAGCACUGAGCUGUUUGAUUAGUGACAUUUAAUACCAAUUCAGUCUCUAGCCUAAUUAAUUUCUAAUUAAUUCUAAUUUCUAAUUAGUUUCUAAUUAAUAAGAGACAACUGUCUACCCUGUAGGCACGAAACUUAAGAUCCUAGUCUAUUUUAAAAUGUAACUACCCAUGUACAGAUUCAUAAUGCCAAACAGUUGAGAUCUUCUAAGCCAAAUUACCCUAAUCUGGUCCAAAAUCUAAACUAACUUUUCCAAAAGACAGCUAGUAAAGAAUAACAAUAAUGGUUUAAAUAAUAAGACUAAAGGCUUGUUCUUACCUUUAAGAAAGUUAAAAAAAAAAAAAAAAAGAGUGUUGAAUGAGAUGAUAUGGCUACCACACUGAUUCUGAAUUGGUAAAGGGUUAUUUUACUUCUAUGCACCUAAUUCUGGAGAUUUCAUUGGUUGAGGUCAGUAUCUGCUUUCUCCUGACAACAGAUAUCCAGAGUUCCCAGAAUGACAUAGUAAUAAGAACAUAAGAACCUUAUGUUACAAGAUUUGUUGGUAUAUAUCCUUUGGGGGAAAAAGCCACGUGAGCAAAUGAGGAACACAAAAAAGAAACACAACUGAAGAUCUUCCACUAGUAAUAUUUUACUUUCUUCUUACAAUAAAUUAUAAAUACUUUUUCCACAUAUCAAAGUUCGUCAAAGAACUCCCAAAA
Molecule: long non-coding RNA, 1526 nt
Organism: Homo sapiens (human)
Lineage: Eukaryota; Metazoa; Chordata; Mammalia; Primates; Hominidae
Exons: 2
Source: RefSeq, a predicted model, not a curated record